Molecule: ribosomal RNA, 503 nt
Filed under: uncultured bacterium
Lineage: Bacteria
Description: partial 16S ribosomal RNA
Rfam family: Bacterial small subunit ribosomal RNA
Source: RNAcentral
AUUGAACGCUGGCGGCAGGCUUAACACAUGCAAGUCGAGCGGGGUGAUGGUGCUUGCACUAUCACUUAGCGGCGGACGGGUGAGUAAUGCUUAGGAAUCUGCCUAUUAGUGGGGGACAACAUCUCGAAAGGGAUGCUAAUACCGCAUACGUCCUACGGGAGAAAGCAGGGGAUCACUUGUGACCUUGCGCUAAUAGAUGAGCCUAAGUCGGAUUAGCUAGUUGGUGGGGUAAAGGCCUACCAAGGCGACGAUCUGUAGCGGGUCUGAGAGGAUGAUCCGCCACGCUGGGACUGAGACACGGCCCAGACUCCGAAGGGAGGAAGCAGUGGGGAAUAUUGGACAAUGGGGGGAACCCUGAUCCAGCCAUGCCGCGUGUGUGAAGAAGGCCUUAUGGUUGUAAAGCACUUUAAGCGAGGAGGAGGCUCUUUUGGUUAAUACCCAAGAUGAGUGGACGUUACUCGCAGAAUAAGCACCGGCUAACUCUGUGCCAGCAGCCGCCGUAA